This 450-nucleotide ribosomal RNA is filed under the name uncultured bacterium. RNAcentral describes it as "partial 16S ribosomal RNA". It matches the Rfam family "Bacterial small subunit ribosomal RNA", at positions 354 to 796 of the family's 1533-position model. The record is from RNAcentral.
GUGGGGAAUUUUGGACAAUGGGGGCAACCCUGAUCCAGCCAUCCCGCGUGUGCGAUGAAGGCCUUCGGGUUGUAAAGCACUUUUGGCAGGGAAGAAAAGUUUCGGGCUAAUACCCUGGAGCGAUGACGGUACCUGCAGAAUAAGCACCGGCUAACUACGUGCCAGCAGCCGCGGUAAUACGUAGGUUGCAAGCGUUAAUCGGAAUUACUGGGCGUAAAGCGUGCGCAGGCGGUUCGGAAAGAAAGAUGUGAAAUCCCAGGGCUUAACCUUGGAACGGCAUGUUUAUCUGUCGAACUCGAGUAUGUCAGAGGGGGGUAGAAGUCCACGUGUAGCAGUGAAAUGCGUAGAGAUGUGGAGGAAUACCGAUGGCGAAGGCAGCCCCCUGGGAUAAUGCUGACGCACAUGCACGAAAGCGUGGAGAGCAAACAGGAUUAGAUACCCCUGUAGUCC